This 497-nucleotide ribosomal RNA is filed under the name uncultured bacterium. Its description in RNAcentral is "partial 16S ribosomal RNA". It matches the Rfam family "Bacterial small subunit ribosomal RNA", at positions 28 to 507 of the family's 1533-position model. The record is from RNAcentral.
GAUGAACGCUGGCGGCGUGCCUAAUACAUGCAAGUCGAGCGAACAGACGAGGCGCUUGCUCCUCGGACGUUAGCGGAGCACGUGUGUGUAACACGUGGAUAACCUACCUAUAAGACUGGUAAAACUUCGGGAAACCGGAGCUAAUACCGGAUAAUCUAUUGAACCGCAUGGUUCGAUAGUGAAAGACGGUUUUGCUGGCACGUAUAGAUGGAUCUGCGCGGCAUUAGCUAGUUGGGGAGGUAACGGGUUAUCAAGGGAAGCAUGCGUAACCGACGUGAGAGGGUGAUCGGCCACACUGGAAGUGGGACGGGGACCAGAGGACUGAGGGAGGCACCAGAAGGGUACGGUACGCAGUGGGGGAAAGUAUGACGGAGCAAGGCGGCGCGAGAGAUGAAGGUGCUCGGAGCGUAAUACUCUGUUAUGAGGGAAGAACAAAUGUGUAAGGUGCUAUGCACGGCUUGACGGUAACUGAUCAGAAAGCCACGGCUAACUACGUG